GGUCUGUCGCGAGCAACCCUACACCAUGCACCAGCGCCACUGCUCCCAGCAGGAGUGGGUUUUGCAGCGGUGGCGGCAGCCCCGCGCCCAGGCCGAGCAGAGUCAGGGCUGCCAGCGCCGUAAGCAGCAAGGGGAAGGGCAGGUUGUAGAGCACCAGGCCCCCGCGAACGCCCAGCCGCGCCUGCGAGCCGUAAGGGUCGUGUGGUUGGCAAGUCAUUUAACUUUUCCAAACAAAUCUGCAAAAUGGAGAUAACAGCACCUGCCUCAUUGCGUUGUGAAGAAGAUGAAAUGUUUAGCCCGGUGCCCAACACCCAGUUCUCACUCUGUCAUCCAGGCUGGUGUGCAGUGGUGCAAUGUGGGCUUACUGCAGCCUUGACCUCCAGGACAAGUGAUCUCCCACCUCAGCCUCCGGAAUAGCUGGGACUACAGAGUCUUCUUUCUCCAGGACAAACACUCCGAGUUUUUCAGCUGUUCCUUGCAGGACAGGAUUCUGGGUUCUCACCAUGUGGAAUCUCUUCUCUGUUUGCUUCUUACCAGCUCAACAACGCCCCUCUGAAAGUAGGACUCUUGGAAAUGAACCUUGUUGGGAGUAAAGCUGAACCUUCACCUCUCCUUUCCAGGAUUCUACUCCAUUCAUACGGCCUCACACUGAAUUAAUGUUUCUAGCAGCCACAUUACUUUGUUACCCAAUUGAUCUAGUAGUAAAGUCUUCCCAUCUCU
This 720-nucleotide long non-coding RNA is filed under the name Homo sapiens (human). Its description in RNAcentral is "HSALNT0310326". The record is from RNAcentral. Lineage: Eukaryota; Metazoa; Chordata; Mammalia; Primates; Hominidae.